UAAUACGGAGGAUGCAAGCGUUAUCCGGAAUGAUUGGGCGUAAAGCGUCCGCAGGUGGUUAUACAAGUCUGCUGUCAAAGCGCAAGGCUCAACCUUGUAAAGGCAGUGGAAACUGUGUGACUAGAGAGUGAUAGGGGCAGAGGGAAUUCCCAGUGUAGCGGUGAAAUGCGUAGAGAUUGGGAAGAACACCGGUGGCGAAAGCGCUCUGCUGGGUCAUAUCUGACACUGAGGGACGAAAGCUAGGGGAGCGAAAGGGAUUAGAUACCCCUGUAGUCCUAGCCGUAAACGAUGGAAACUAGGCGUUGUUCGUAUCGACCCGAACAGUGCCGGAGCUAACGCGUUAAGUUUCCCGCCUGGGGAGUACGCUCGCAAGAGUG
This 377-nucleotide ribosomal RNA is filed under the name uncultured bacterium. RNAcentral's name for it is "bacterial SSU rRNA". It matches the Rfam family "Bacterial small subunit ribosomal RNA", at positions 521 to 896 of the family's 1533-position model. The record is from RNAcentral.